This 309-nucleotide long non-coding RNA is filed under the name Elaeis guineensis (African oil palm). Its description in RNAcentral is "long non-coding RNA (EGUI_LNC040395)". The record is from RNAcentral. Lineage: Eukaryota; Viridiplantae; Streptophyta; Magnoliopsida; Arecales; Arecaceae.
UCUUUAAAUUUGAUUUUUUAAAAAAAUAAUUAACAAGAAUCCUGCUAAAAUUUAAAUAUUUGAAUAUUUUUGCUUUGGAUGCAUGGAGGGAUGUAUUCUUGAAAAGAAAUUUGAAAUUAGCUUUAACAUGGCUUCCUAAACCAUAUUUUUCAAAGUCAAAUAAAAAUUAUUUCAAUUUUUUUCUGAGCAUUAUUAAGAAGUGGAGGAUAAUGUUCCAAAAUGAAAAAUUUAAAUUAAUUUUUUUCUAAAAUAAUUAAGAAUAGUCAUACUUAAAUUAUUUUGAUUUUUUCGUCUGUGUGCAUGGAGGGA